UACGUAGGCGGCUUUGUAAGUUAGAGGUGAAAGCCCGGAGCUCAACUCCGGAAUUGCCUUUAAGACUGCAUCGCUUGAAUCAUGGAGAGGUGAGUGGAAUUCCGAGUGUAGAGGUGAAAUUCGUAGAUAUUCGGAAGAACACCAGUGGCGAAGGCGACUCACUGGACAUGUAUUGACGCUGAGGUACGAAAGCGUGGGAGCAAACA
Molecule: ribosomal RNA, 206 nt
Filed under: uncultured bacterium
Lineage: Bacteria
Description: partial 16S ribosomal RNA
Rfam family: Bacterial small subunit ribosomal RNA
Source: RNAcentral